RNAcentral lists this signal recognition particle RNA (281 nucleotides) under Carlito syrichta (Philippine tarsier). Its description in RNAcentral is "Metazoan signal recognition particle RNA (ENSTSYG00000033485.1)". It matches the Rfam family "Metazoan signal recognition particle RNA". Rfam says of the family: The signal recognition particle (SRP) is a universally conserved ribonucleoprotein. It is involved in the co-translational targeting of proteins to membranes. The eukaryotic SRP consists of a 300-nucleotide 7S RNA and six proteins: SRPs 72, 68, 54, 19, 14, and 9. The record is from RNAcentral. Lineage: Eukaryota; Metazoa; Chordata; Mammalia; Primates; Tarsiidae.
GCCUGCAGUCCCAGCUACUUGGGAGGCUGAGGCGGGAGGAUCGCUUGAGCCCAGGAAUUUUGGACUGUUAGUACACUAUGCCAGUCGCAUGUCCACGCUAAAUUCAGCAUAAAUAUGGUGAACUCCUGGGAUCAGGGGACCACCAGGUUGCCUAAGGAGGGGUGAGUUGGCCCAGGUUGGAAACAGAACAGGUCAGAACUCCCUUGCUGAUCAGAAGUGGGAUCAUGCCUGUGAAUAGCUACUGCACUCCAACCUGGGCAGCAUAGCUAGAUGCUGUCUUU